This 77-nucleotide transfer RNA is filed under the name Marmota monax (woodchuck). RNAcentral's name for it is "tRNA.Thr". Lineage: Eukaryota; Metazoa; Chordata; Mammalia; Rodentia; Sciuridae. The record is from RNAcentral.
GUUGGGGACGUAGCUCAGUGGUCGAGCACUUGCCUAGUAUGUGCAAGGCCCUGGGUUCCAUCCCUAGGACCACAACA